UGUAUUUUUUUGGUCUUGUAAUUUACAGGAAACAUUACGCUGUCUUCACAACUCGGAGACAAAUUGUAGGCGCUACGAACCGGAGCAAGGACUAACCUCGCCUCAUAACGAGGCUGUAACCUAUAUUUGCUCGGAGCUAUGUCUGCAAGUCCAGAUUUACAUGAUGCUGACAAUGACGGCAUUGUGUCUGCCUGUAAUAACGAGACAGUAAGCAGGAGCUUCAGGUAGAAACAACCAGAUCU
This is a long non-coding RNA of Sander lucioperca (pikeperch), 242 nucleotides long. RefSeq lists it as uncharacterized. The transcript is spliced from 3 exons. The record is from RefSeq and is a predicted model, not a curated record. Lineage: Eukaryota; Metazoa; Chordata; Actinopteri; Perciformes; Percidae.